CCUACGGGCGGCAGCAGUGAGGAAUAUUGGUCAAUGGUCGCAAGCCUGAACCAGCCAAGUAGCGUGAAGGAUGACUGCCCUACGGGUUGUAAACUUCUUUUAUAAAGGGAUAAAGUGCGUCACGUGUGCUUUUUUGUAUGUACUUUAUGAAUAAGGAUCGGCUAAUUCCGUGCCAGCAGCCGCUGUAAUACGGCGGAUCCGAGCGUUAUCCGGAUUUAUUGGGUUUAAAGGGCGCGUAGAUGGGUUGUUAAGUCAGUUGUGAAAGUUUGCGGCUCAACCGUAAAAUUGCAAUGGAUACUGGCAGUCUUGAGUACAGUUGAGGUAGGCGGAAUUCGUGGUGUAGCGGUGAAAUGCUUAGAUAUCACGAAGAACUCCGAUUGCGAAGGCAGCAUACUAAACUGCCACUGACAUUGAUGCUCGAAAGUGUGGGUAUCAAACAGGAUUAGAUACCCGGGUAGUC
This 460-nucleotide ribosomal RNA is filed under the name uncultured bacterium. Its description in RNAcentral is "partial 16S ribosomal RNA". It matches the Rfam family "Bacterial small subunit ribosomal RNA", at positions 338 to 795 of the family's 1533-position model. The record is from RNAcentral.